RNAcentral lists this ribosomal RNA (501 nucleotides) under uncultured bacterium. RNAcentral describes it as "partial 16S ribosomal RNA". It matches the Rfam family "Bacterial small subunit ribosomal RNA", at positions 30 to 523 of the family's 1533-position model. The record is from RNAcentral.
AUUGAACGCUGGCGGCAGGCUUAACACAUGCAAGUCGAGCGGGGGAAGGUAGCUUGCUACCGAACCUAGCGGCGGACGGGUGAGUAAUGCUUAGGAAUCUGCCUAUUAGUGGGGGACAACAUCUCGAAAGGGAUGCUAAUACCGCAUACGUCCUACGGGAGAAAGCAGGGGAUCCUCGGACCUUGCGCUAAUAGAUGAGCCUAAGUCGGAUUAGCUAGUUGGUGGGGUAAAGGCCUACCAAGGCGACGAUCUGUAGCGGAUCUGAGAGGAUGAUCGGCCACAGUGGGACUGAGACACGGCCCAGACUCAUACGGGAGGCAGCAGUGGGGAAUAUUGGACAAUGGGGGGAACCCUGAUCCAGCCAUGCCGCGUGUGUGAAGAAGGCCUUAUGGUUGUAAAGCACUUUAAGCGAGGCGGAGGCUACUUUAGUUAAUACCUAGAGAUAGUGGACGUUACUCGCAGAAUAAGCACCGGCUAACUCUGUGCCAGCCGCCGCCGUAA